UUUUUUUUUUUAAAUAAAGGCUCCAAUUGCUGUGAAAAUGGGAAAACUGGCAAUAAACAGAGGAAUGGAGGUCGACAUCGCGUCAGGGAUGGCCAUCGAGGGGAUGUGUUAUGCCCAGAAUAUUCCCACAAGAGACCGUCAGGAAGGAAUGGCUGCCUUCAGGGAGAAAAGACCACCCCGAUUCAUUGGCAAAUAAUGCUUCCUGGCUUCCCUUUGAUUUUUUUUUGAG
Molecule: non-coding RNA, 229 nt
Organism: Tinamus guttatus (white-throated tinamou)
Lineage: Eukaryota; Metazoa; Chordata; Aves; Tinamiformes; Tinamidae
Source: RefSeq, a predicted model, not a curated record